Molecule: ribosomal RNA, 505 nt
Filed under: Cryptoplax iredalei
Lineage: Eukaryota; Metazoa; Mollusca; Polyplacophora; Chitonida; Cryptoplacidae
Description: partial 16S ribosomal RNA
Rfam family: Bacterial large subunit ribosomal RNA
Source: RNAcentral
CGCUCUUUGUAAACUCUUAAAUAGGGAGUCGUGCCUGCCCAGUGAUUAAAAUUUUAACGGCCGCAGUACCCUGACUGUGCUAAGGUAGCAUAAUCACUUGCUUUUUAAUUGAAAGCUAGAAUGAAUGGCUUGACGAAAGCCUAGCUGUCUCUUUUACAUUAACUAAAAAUUACUUUUUAGGUGAAGAAGCCUAAAUAAUCUCAAAAGACGAAAAGACCCUGUCGAGCUUUAAAAAAAAAUUAAAUCAAAAUUAUAGAAAAACUAAAUUAAAAUUAACUUUUUGUUGGGGCGACAAAAGAACAAACAAAGCUUCUUUUACUUAAAUAAAUUUAUAAAUUUCAAUGAACCAAAAUUUUUGAUCAAAAGAAAAGUUACCGCAGGGAUAACAGCGUAAUUUCUUUGGAGAGCUCAAAUUGAAAAAGAAGUUUGCGACCUCGAUGUUGGAUUAGAAAAUCUUUUUGGUGCAGCCGCUAAAACAGAGGGUCUGUUCGACCCUUAAAUUUCU